AGUGGCGAACGGGUGAGUAAUACAUCGGAACGUGUCCGCUCGUGGGGGACAACCAGCCGAAAGGUUGGCUAAUACCGCAUGAGUUCUACGGAAGAAAGAGGGGGACCCGCAAGGGCCUCUCGCGAGCGGAGCGGCCGAUGACUGAUUAGCCGGUUGGUGAGGUAACGGCUCACCAAAGCAACGAUCAGUAGCUGGUCUGAGAGGACGACCAGCCACACUGGGACUGAGACACGGACCAGACUCCUACGGAAGGCAGCAG
Molecule: ribosomal RNA, 259 nt
Filed under: uncultured bacterium
Lineage: Bacteria
Description: partial 16S ribosomal RNA
Rfam family: Bacterial small subunit ribosomal RNA
Source: RNAcentral